GACGAACGCUGGCGGCGUGCUUAACACAUGCAAGUCGAACGGAAAGGCCCUGCUUUUGUGGGGUGCUCGAGUGGCGAACGGGUGAGUAACACGUGAGUAACCUGCCCUUGACUUUGGGAUAACUUCAGGAAACUGGGGCUAAUACCGGAUAGGAGCUCCUGCUGCAUGGUGGGGGUUGGAAAGUUUCGGCGGUUGGGGAUGGACUCGCGGCUUAUCAGCUUGUUGGUGGGGAAGUGGCUUACCAAGGCUUUGACGGGUAGCCGGCCUGAGAGGGUGACCGGCGACAUUGGGACUGCGAUACGGCCCAGACUCCUACGGGAGGCAGCAGUGGGGAAUAUUGCACAAUGGGCGGAAGCCUGAUGCAGCAACGCCGCGUGCGGGAUGACGGCCUUCGGGUUGUAAACCGCUUUCGCCUGUGACGAAGCGUGAGUGACGGUAAUGGGUAAAGAAGCACCGGCUAACUACGUG
This 468-nucleotide ribosomal RNA is filed under the name uncultured bacterium. RNAcentral's name for it is "partial 16S ribosomal RNA". It matches the Rfam family "Bacterial small subunit ribosomal RNA", at positions 28 to 507 of the family's 1533-position model. The record is from RNAcentral.